AGUUGUAUGGCGCAGUGGUAGCGCGCUUGUUCUUGUAACGGGAGGAUUUGGGUUCGAUUCCCGGUGCGACUU
Molecule: transfer RNA, 72 nt
Organism: Gaeumannomyces graminis
Lineage: Eukaryota; Fungi; Ascomycota; Sordariomycetes; Magnaporthales; Magnaporthaceae
Rfam family: tRNA
About the family: Transfer RNA (tRNA) molecules are approximately 80 nucleotides in length.
Source: Rfam